UGGGGAAUUUUGGACAAUGGGCGCAAGCCUGAUCCAGCAAUGCCGCGUGCAGGAUGAAGGCCUUCGGGUUGUAAACUGCUUUUGUACGGAACGAAACGGCUCUGGUUAAUACCUGGGGCUAAUGACGGUACCGUAAGAAUAAGCACCGGCUAACUACGUGCCAGCAGCCGCGGUAAUUCGUAGGGUGCGAGCGUUAAUCGGAAUUACUGGGCGUAAAGCGUGUGCAGGCGGUGAUGUAAGACAGAUGUGAAAUCCCCGGGCUCAACCUGGGACCUGCAUUUAUGACUGCAUCGCUGUAGUGCUGCAGAGGGGGAUGGAAUUCCGCGUGUAGCAGUGAGAUGCGUAGAUAUGCGGAGGAACACCGAUGGCGAAGGCAAUCCCCUGGGCCUGCACUGACGCUCAUGCACGAAAGCGUGGGGAGCAAACA
This 427-nucleotide ribosomal RNA is filed under the name uncultured bacterium. Its description in RNAcentral is "bacterial SSU rRNA". It matches the Rfam family "Bacterial small subunit ribosomal RNA", at positions 355 to 774 of the family's 1533-position model. The record is from RNAcentral.